GGUGCUUGAAAUGUGAAUUUUAUCAUUUUGAAUGUAGUUUAGCUUGGUGACUUGGAAAGUGACUUAGUGACUUGAAAUGGAUUAAGUGUAGCUACUUGAAAUGUGAAUUUCAUCAUUUUUAAUGUAGAUUAGUUUGGUGACUUAGUGACUUCAAAUUGAUUAAGUAUAGGUACUUGAAAUGUGAUUUUUUUUUAUUUUUAAUAUAGUUUAGUUUGGAGACUUGGGAGAUGACUUAGUGACUUGAAAUUGAUUAAUUAUAGGUACUUGAAAUGUGAUUUUUUUUAUUUUGAAUGUAGUUUUGUUUGGUGUCUUGGGAGGUGACUUAGUGACUUGAAAUUGAUUAAGUGUCGGUACUAAAAAUGUGAAUUUUAUGAUUCUGAAUGUAGUUUAGUUUGAUGACUUGGAAGUGACUUAGUGACUUGAAAUUGAUCAAGUGUAGGUACAAGAAAUGUGAAUUUUAUUAUUUUCAAUGUAGUUUAGUUUAGUGACUUUGGAGGUGACUUAGUGACUUGAAAUUGAUUAAGUGUAG
RNAcentral lists this long non-coding RNA (529 nucleotides) under Capsicum annuum. RNAcentral describes it as "long non-coding RNA (CANN_LNC002694)". The record is from RNAcentral. Lineage: Eukaryota; Viridiplantae; Streptophyta; Magnoliopsida; Solanales; Solanaceae.